This 74-nucleotide transfer RNA is filed under the name Mugil cephalus (flathead mullet). Its description in RNAcentral is "tRNA-Asn". It matches the Rfam family "tRNA". Rfam says of the family: Transfer RNA (tRNA) molecules are approximately 80 nucleotides in length. Their secondary structure includes four short double-helical elements and three loops (D, anti-codon, and T loops). Further hydrogen bonds mediate the characteristic L-shaped molecular structure. tRNAs have two regions of fundamental functional importance: the anti-codon, which is responsible for specific mRNA codon recognition, and the 3' end, to which the tRNAs corresponding amino acid is attached (by aminoacyl-tRNA synthetases). tRNAs cope with the degeneracy of the genetic code in two manners: having more than one tRNA (with a specific anti-codon) for a particular amino acid; and 'wobble' base-pairing, i.e. permitting non-standard base-pairing at the 3rd anti-codon position. Lineage: Eukaryota; Metazoa; Chordata; Actinopteri; Mugiliformes; Mugilidae. The record is from RNAcentral.
UAGAUGGAAGCUCGCGUGGUUAGAGCGCUUAGCUGUUAACUAAGAGUUUGUAGGAUCAAGGCCUGCCCAUCUAG